Molecule: transfer RNA, 73 nt
Filed under: Camelus bactrianus (Bactrian camel)
Lineage: Eukaryota; Metazoa; Chordata; Mammalia; Artiodactyla; Camelidae
Also listed under: 3 other names
Rfam family: tRNA
About the family: Transfer RNA (tRNA) molecules are approximately 80 nucleotides in length. Their secondary structure includes four short double-helical elements and three loops (D, anti-codon, and T loops).
Source: Rfam by way of RNAcentral
GAGGGUAUAGCUCAAGUGGUAGAGCACAUGCUUAGCAUGCAUGAGGUCCUGGGUUCAAUCCCCAGUAUCUCCU